This 1122-nucleotide long non-coding RNA is filed under the name Marmota monax (woodchuck). The record is from RNAcentral. Lineage: Eukaryota; Metazoa; Chordata; Mammalia; Rodentia; Sciuridae.
AAAAUAAUUGCAUGGAAUGCAUCAGAGAUUUUGCUAAGAUUAUAUUUUGUGAUCAUUACUCACAAGCAUUGUGUGAUUAAUGCAAAGCUUUGUGAAUAUGAAAUACACAAAUAAUCAAUGGCUUCCCGUUUCCUUUGUAAAUAACAGUAAUAAUUACCAUUUGUUAAGGGUCAACCAAGCCUUGGACAGUUGUCAAUUCUGCAAGGUAAGUGCCAUUAACUUCAUUUUAGGAGGAUGAGAAAUAGAUGGCUGAAGUUAAAUGAUUUCCCUAAGACUCCAAGAGAUCCAAUGACAAUUUAAAGUCAGGUCAUUCUGGCUCCAAAACCCAUGACUUAUAUUAAGUGAUUUAAAUAUAAAAUAGCAAUAAGCCCCUUAUGCUUUUAGGUUUGACUUCAGCCCAUGUUACUAAUGAAUGAAUUUAUAUAAAGAAAAUACUUCAGAAACCUAUUCAUUCAGUAAAUGAAAAUUAACCCUUUCUUAAUAAUCAGAUUUUUUAUCCAGAAGGAUCAAAUAUAUUAUUUAAAUUGAAUAAAAAUAUGGACUUUUCUAGUAGUAAAAGAUUAUUUUCUUAUGAUUUGUUUAUCUGGAUUUAAUCUUAGAAAGCAUAAUCAGUCUACUAGUGACACCUACUAAGACUAUGGAUAUUUAUCAGAUUUGAGAUAAACUUCCUGUUUUCAUGUGUUUUAAUCAACAAUCGAAGAUAGUCUUAUGCAACUUAUUGUUUUUCCAUCUCCUUACAUUUUGCUUAAGUUACUGAAGACCAGAGAAACACGCCAGAGAGCUGUGUAAACAUGUUGACUCUCCCUUUAUAAAGGGAGAAAUUGCUCAGAACAGGAGGGUUGAAAGCUAAAGGAGAUUGCCAGUUCCUUGAAAUGUGUGACAUUAUUGCUUUACAAAACCACCCCCUGGAUCCUUAAGAGAAUCUGUGUGCUAAAAAACAUUAGGAUAUAAUUUUGCCACACGUACUAGCUGUAGCCUCCUCACUAAAGUCCGAAGUCAUUUAUGAAAUAAAAGUAGAUCAUGAUUUGGGCUUAGAGAAAAAUGCUAAUGAGUCACAUUUGCCAAUGCCAGUUAGCUUUUCCGAACUACAGGCUUCACUGGUGAGCUCAGUUGUGUGUUUUG